Molecule: transfer RNA, 71 nt
Filed under: Polyplectron germaini
Lineage: Eukaryota; Metazoa; Chordata; Aves; Galliformes; Phasianidae
Description: tRNA-Gly
Rfam family: tRNA
About the family: Transfer RNA (tRNA) molecules are approximately 80 nucleotides in length.
Source: RNAcentral
UGCUCUUCUAGUAUACUAAUUACAACUGACUUCCAAUCUUUAAAAUCUGGUUCCAACCCAGAGAAGAGCAA